UAGAGUUUGAUCAUGGCUCAGAUUGAACGCUGGCGGCAGGCCUAACACAUGCAAGUCGAACGGUAACAGGAAGCAGCUUGCUGCUUUGCUGACGAGUGGCGGACGGGUGAGUAAUGUCUGGGAAACUGCCCGGUGGAGGGGGAUAACUACUGGAAACGGUAGCUAAUACCGCAUAACGUCGCAAGACCAAAGAGGGGGACCUUCGGGCCUCUUGCCACCGGAUGUGCCCAGAUGGGAUUAGCUUGUUGGUGAGGUAACGGCUCACCAAGGCGACGAUCCCUAGCUGGUCUGAGAGGAUGACCAGCCACACUGGAACUGAGACACGGUCCAGACUCCUACGGGAGGCAGCAGUGGGGAAUAUUGCACAAUGGGCGCAAGCCUGAUGCAGCCAUGCCGCGUGUAUGAAGAAGGCCUUCGGGUUGUAAAGUACUUUUCAGCGGGGAGGAAGGGAUUGUGGUUAAUAACCGCAGUCAUUGACGUUACCCGCAGAAGAAGCACCGGCUAACUCCGUGCCAGCAGCCGCGGUAAUACGGAGGGUGCAAGCGUUAAUCGGAAUUACUGGGCGUAAAGCGCACGCAGGCGGUCUGUCAAGUCGGAUGUGAAAUCCCCGGGCUCAACCUGGGAACUGCAUUCGAAACUGGCAGGCUUGAGUCUCGUAGAGGGGGGUGGAAUUCCAGGUGUAGCGGUGAAAUGCGUAGAGAUCUGGAGGAAUACCGGUGGCGAAGGCGGCCCCCUGGACGAAGACUGACGCUCAGGUGCGAAAGCGUGGGGAGCAAACAGGAUUAGAUACCCUGGUAGUCCACGCCGUAAACGAUGUCUACUUGGAGGUUGUGCCCCUGAGGCGUGGCUUCCGGAGCUAACGCGUUAAGUAGACCGCCUGGGGAGUACGGCCGCAAGGUUAAAACUCAAAUGAAUUGACGGGGGCCCGCACAAGCGGUGGAGCAUGUGGUUUAAUUCGAUGCAACGCGAAGAACCUUACCUGGUCUUGACAUCCACGGAAGACUGCAGAGAUGCGGUUGUGCCUUCGGGAACCGUGAGACAGGUGCUGCAUGGCUGUCGUCAGCUCGUGUUGUGAAAUGUUGGGUUAAGUCCCGCAACGAGCGCAACCCUUAUCCUUUGUUGCCAGCGGUCCGGCCGGGAACUCAAAGGAGACUGCCAGUGAUAAACUGGAGGAAGGUGGGGAUGACGUCAAGUCAUCAUGGCCCUUACGACCAGGGCUACACACGUGCUACAAUGGCAUAUACAAAGAGAAGCGACCUCGCGAGAGCAAGCGGACCUCAUAAAGUAUGUCGUAGUCCGGAUUGGAGUCUGCAACUCGACUCCAUGAAGUCGGAAUCGCUAGUAAUCGUGGAUCAGAAUGCCACGGUGAAUACGUUCCCGGGCCUUGUACACACCGCCCGUCACACCAUGGGAGUGGGUUGCAAAAGAAGUAGGUAGCUUAACCUCCGGGAGGGCGCUUACCACUUUGUGAUUCAUGACUGGGGUGAAGUCGUAACAAGGUAGCCGUA
Molecule: ribosomal RNA, 1508 nt
Filed under: uncultured bacterium
Lineage: Bacteria
Description: 16S ribosomal RNA
Rfam family: Bacterial small subunit ribosomal RNA
Source: RNAcentral